UAGGUUUUGGUCCUGCUGUAUCCUGACAUAUCUAGGGAAAGCCACAUGCAAAAACGAAUACUGCAGGUAAACACUCCAGCCAUUAUCCAAAGGUCAUAUUUUACAGAUGUGCUCUGUGUGGAACUGGAAAUUGAUCUGCAUUCAUUUUUCAGACACCUCUGCAUAUAUAACAGUGUUGGUACCUAGUAAUUUCCCGAGCAAGAGACAGCUGAUAAUCAAAGUGUUUGGACUGCUCCUGCCUGACAGAACUGUGAGAUAUGGUCUCCACAUCUAGGUACUAAGUAUCUGACCAGAUAGAUUGUUGAGGUAGUUCUACUCAGGGUACUAUGAUGCAGGUCUGGAAUUUACUUCUCUUUGUGAUGUUAACCAUCACCCAACCAUGGGACCACUGGUGUGAGUCUUUCCACCUUUCUAAGGUUCACUCCCUCAUUAGCAUCUCAUCCUAAGGACACCUUCUACCUCCUUGUCCUCUAAGCAAUGCUUUUCAAACCCUACAGACCAGUGCCUGCAUCAGAAUAAUGAGGAAGGGCUUUUGGAAUACUAUGCAGCCAUGUCCCUCUGCAGGGACAUGGAUGAAGCUGGAAACCGUCAUUCUCAGCAAACUAACAUAAGAACAGAAAACCAAACACCACAUGUCCUCACUCAUAAGUGGGAGUUGAACAAUGAGAAUACAUGGACACGGGCAGUGACCUGAGAAGCUACGUAUUGACACGGCGCUACCACGGGUGGAGGAGCCUGCAUUGCUGAAUCACAGGAUGAAGGCGAAUCCCUGCCAGCCUCCAUCCAUCUCUGGGGUGCUUAGCAGAAUCCUCAGCUCACAAGAUGAAUAAAUGCAGACUAAAUGAUGCACAAAUAAUCUUCACACACAACCAUCAACACAUGGAAAGACUGCAGGACGGCCAGAUCCCAAGCUAACAAACAGAAAAAGAAAAAAAAUGGCAUUAUGAUACAAACAGAAAAUGUAACAGUGGAGUGCAGAAAAUACAAAAAAAAGGAAAAAAUAAAUAGAAAAUCUUCAAAGAGGCAAUCUGUUUAAAUCUUCAAGAACUGGAAACAGUAAAAGUGAACAGGUUUUUAUUGAGCAUGUCAAUAAAAUGUUUGCAUAAG
Molecule: long non-coding RNA, 1107 nt
Filed under: Homo sapiens (human)
Lineage: Eukaryota; Metazoa; Chordata; Mammalia; Primates; Hominidae
Description: HSALNT0337049
Source: RNAcentral